RNAcentral lists this transfer RNA (66 nucleotides) under Drino sp. PH-2020. Its description in RNAcentral is "tRNA-Trp". It matches the Rfam family "tRNA". From Rfam's summary of the family: Transfer RNA (tRNA) molecules are approximately 80 nucleotides in length. Their secondary structure includes four short double-helical elements and three loops (D, anti-codon, and T loops). Lineage: Eukaryota; Metazoa; Arthropoda; Insecta; Diptera; Tachinidae. The record is from RNAcentral.
AAGGCUUUAAGUUAAAUAAACUAAUAGCCUUCAAAGCUAUAAAUAUAAGGAGUCUUUUAAGCUUUA